AACGAACGCUGGCGGCAGGCUUAACACAUGCAAGUCGAACGCCCCGCAAGGGGAGUAGCAGACGGGUGAGUAACGCGUGGGAACAUACCCUUUCCUGCGGAAUAGCUCCGGGAAACUGGAAUUAAUACCGCAUACGCCCUACGGGGGAAAGAUUUAUCGGGGAAGGAUUGGCCCGCGUUGGAUUAGCUAGUUGGUGGGGUAAAGGCCUACCAAGGCGACGAUCCAUAGCUGGUCUGAGAGGAUGAUCAGCCACAUUGGGGCUGAGACACGGCCCAAACUCCUACGGGAGGCAGCAGUGGGGAAUAUUGGACAAUGGGCGCAAGCCUGAUCCAGCCAUGCCGCGUGAGUGAUGAAGGCCUUAGGGUUGUAAAGCUCUUUCACCGAUGAAGAUAAUGACGGUAGUCGGAGAAGAAGCCCCGGCUAACUUCGUGCCAGCCGCCGCCGUAA
Molecule: ribosomal RNA, 447 nt
Filed under: uncultured bacterium
Lineage: Bacteria
Description: partial 16S ribosomal RNA
Rfam family: Bacterial small subunit ribosomal RNA
Source: RNAcentral